This is a long non-coding RNA of Vigna radiata var. radiata (mung bean), 626 nucleotides long. RefSeq lists it as uncharacterized. Lineage: Eukaryota; Viridiplantae; Streptophyta; Magnoliopsida; Fabales; Fabaceae. The record is from RefSeq and is a predicted model, not a curated record. The transcript is spliced from 2 exons.
CAUUUCCGGCGAUCCCACCUUUGCCUGCAUCGACGGGCUACCACUGCGUGCUCCUCCACUGCCAAACCCUCGUGAACCAGGCCUUCAGCGUCGAGAGUCGUCACGCCUCGUCCAUCAUCAGCAUCUAACAAAACCGCCGCGCGACAGUCGCUGGCAAUUCCUUCUCCGUAGUGGCCGCCGCGAGCACCUCCUUGUGGCGCCUCAGCUAGGGUUCGAAAUAGAGCGUGUUUGCUCCGCCGGAUUCACUUCCGUUCUUCUCCGCUCUUCGCCACUGCUCAGCUCUCAAAUUAACUUUUUCAGCUCAAGAAGAGAGAUAUUUGUUGUUGUCCUUCAUUCCCACGAAACAUGAUUCAACAAAUAUUUGUCCUGGAGAGGGACUCCAUGGGCAUUAUAGCUACUAAGAAUUCUCCAUCAACAUUGAGGUUGGUACUUUUAGUCAUGCUGCAACAUGGGGACUGUAUACAUUUGUUCAGUUAAUUUAGAGAAGCCAAUAAGAGUUUGUGUAAAUAUCAAAGUUGUCGGAAGAGAGAGUCAUCAAUGUUAAAUAAACUUAAAAUAAUGAAAGGGAUUUAUUUGUAAUUUUUUAGAGAACGUUUUGGUUAAAUAGAUGAUUAUAUUUUUAUUGA